CUUUGGCAUGCAUUGGAACCAUGUGAAUGUUGUCAAGAGCAUGUCACAGGGUAGGAAGUUACACUCAAGGAACUUCUCACAGUGGCACCAAGAGCUGCAGCUCUAGGAACCAGGAAGCCUGCCUGUGAAAGACAUGCACAUCAGGAAGCAGCACCACUUUUGCCUUCUCUGUAGUCAACACAAGCAAAUGAUCAGCUACAAAAGGGCUUGAAGCCAAGAUUUGAUAUGAACUUUUUCAUGGUCAUGCAAGAUAUGACUACAGAUCUAUGGAG
This is a non-coding RNA of Taeniopygia guttata (zebra finch), 272 nucleotides long. Lineage: Eukaryota; Metazoa; Chordata; Aves; Passeriformes; Estrildidae. The record is from RefSeq and is a predicted model, not a curated record.